AUUGAACGCUGGCGGCAUGCCUUACACAUGCAAGUCGAACGGCAGCACGGGAGCAAUCCUGGUGGCGAGUGGCGAACGGGUGAGUAAUAUAUCGGAACGUGCCCAGUCGUGGGGAUAACGUAGCGAAAGCUACGCUAAUACCGCAUACGAUCUAUGGAUGAAAGCGGGGGAUCGCAAGACCUCGCGCGAUUGGAGCGGCCGAUAUCAGAUUAGGUAGUUGGUGAGGUAAAGGCUCACCAAGCCGACGAUCUGUAGCUGGUCUGAGAGGACGACCAGCCACACUGGGACUGAGACACGGCCCAGACUCCUACGGAGGCAGCAGUGGGGAAUAUUGGACAAUGGGCGAAAGCCUGAUCCAGCAAUGCCGCGUGAGUGAUGAAGGCCUUAGGUUGUAAGCUCUUUACUGGGGAUGAUAAUGACAGUACCCAGAGAAUAAGCUCCGGCUAACUCCGUGCCAGCAGCCG
Molecule: ribosomal RNA, 464 nt
Filed under: uncultured bacterium
Lineage: Bacteria
Description: bacterial SSU rRNA
Rfam family: Bacterial small subunit ribosomal RNA
Source: RNAcentral